GAAGUUGGAAUUGCUAGUAAUGGCAGGUCAGCAUACUGCCGUGAAUACGUUCCCGGGCCUUGUACACACCGCCCGUCACACCAUGAGAGUUGGAGAUACCCGAAGCCUGUGAGCUAACUUUUUAAGAGGCAGCAGUCGAAGGUAGAAUCAAUGAUUGGGGUGAAGUCGUAACAAGGUAAC
RNAcentral lists this ribosomal RNA (180 nucleotides) under uncultured bacterium. Its description in RNAcentral is "partial 16S ribosomal RNA". It matches the Rfam family "Bacterial small subunit ribosomal RNA", at positions 1322 to 1500 of the family's 1533-position model. The record is from RNAcentral.